Long non-coding RNA from Lagenorhynchus albirostris (white-beaked dolphin), 1959 nucleotides. RefSeq lists it as uncharacterized. The record is from RefSeq and is a predicted model, not a curated record. Lineage: Eukaryota; Metazoa; Chordata; Mammalia; Artiodactyla; Delphinidae. The transcript is spliced from 5 exons.
CAUUUUGUGUGGGCAGCGGUGGCUGCAGGUCUACCGUAUUUUAUGUUUCUGGCGAGACGAAAGCGGAAUCUUUAUCCCGUGGAUUCAUUUAACUGCGGCAACCAUCCACCGUUCCCUCAGGACAGCACCUAGUGAAGAUCGGAAGAGUAGCGAUCUGUCAGAAAGUUGGUCUGAAGAAAAGGACAGUUAAGUGACAAACAUCCGGAAGUAUUACUGAGCUCCCUGGCUCUUUGUCCACCCUCAUGUUGGAAAUGGUGAGAGAACUGAUGCUGAAUCAUAAGAUUCCUGGGCCUCGCUUCAGAUCUGGUGAAUUCAAAUCCAUGGAGAAUUCUUAUGCGGGUGGUCUCUGAACAAGAUGGAGAAACAGUUAUCAACUUACGUGCACGCCCAUCUAAAUUCUGUUCUUCAUAUUCUUAUAUGGAUGUUUUUUUACUUUGUUUCAAUUAUUGACAUCUCAGAUUUUUUCCUAUUAUUGUCAUCCUUAGUUUUUCAUCCAGUUCACUGAAUUGGAGCGCUAAUGCACCAGAUAUCCAGGGAACUGUCCAAAAUUCCUUGUCAGGAUUUAUCUCCUCCCCUGCUCCCCCCUUCUCAGAGUACACAUUUAUGGUCAGUAUAUACAUACAGGCUAUGUAUACUUAAUAAUACAUGAACAUGUAUUUCUUUUUUUUUAAUGGAUAUGAAAUAUAGUAUUUUUUUUUAAAUUUUAUUAUUUCGGUUGUGCCGGGUCUUAGUUGCGGCCAGCAGGCCCCUUAGUUGUGGCAUGUGAACUCUUAGUUGCAGCAUGCAUGUGGGAUCUAGUUCCUUGACCAGGGAUCAAACCCACGUCCCCUGCAUUGAAAGGCAGAUUCUUAACCACUGUGCCACCAGGGAAGUCCCCAUGUAUUUCUAAUAUACUUUCCUAGUGAUUUUUAAAUGUGUCUGUUUUUCCCACUGGGGAAAGAAUUGCAUAUUAUUUUUUUUUAAUCUUUCCUGGCAGUAUGAUCCAUUUUAGACAUCUAAAUUUUUGCAUUGAAUCUUUACUAUCACUUGGUUGCUGCUGACUCUUAAACCAAUCGGUCUACUAAAGGUUCCUUUGAGAAUGAUAGAAAUGAAAGCAAAGGGAUAGUCUUAUCAGAUAAGUGCUUUUUUAUCUGAAUGUAUUCGGUUUCUUCCAUAAGAUGGCUUUAGUAGUGCUUAGUUGUCUUUAACUUCAUUUGAAACAAUUUUGUUAGAUUGUAUUGUGAUAGCUGUCAUAUCAGCGUACUUUUUUAAAAAAAGCAUCAAAAUUGGUGAAUUUUUGUGUAGCCAUUUUAAUAUUGAAGAUGGAAGGAAAAAAACAGCAGCAUAUUAUGCUUUAUUCAAGAAAGGUUAAAACACAACUGAAAAGGCAAAACAUUCGUGCAGCGUAUGGAAAAGGUGCCGUGACUGAACGUGUCAAAAGUGGUUUGCAAAGUUUUGUGGUAGAGAUUUCUGACUGGACGAUGCUCCAUAGUCGGGGAGACCAGUUCAAGUUGAUAGCAGUCAGAUCGAGACGUAAAUUUCAAAACAAUCAACGUUAUACCACGCAGGAGAUAAGCCGACACACUCAAAAUCUCCAAAUCAGGUGUUGAAAAUCAUUCGCACCAGCUUGGUUAUGUUAAUCGCUUUGAUGUUUGGGUUCCACGUUAAGCGAAAGAAACCUUGACCAUAUUUCUGCACUGCGAUUCUCUACUUACGUAACGAAAACAUUCCGUUUUUAAAAACAAAUUGUGAUGGGCAAUGAAAAUUGGAUACUGUACAAUAAUGUGGAAUAGAAGAGAUGUUAUGGAAGAAUCCGAACAAACUUCUUUGGCCAACCCAAUAUUAUUUGUAAUCUCUAAACCAAAACUUUAUUCUUUAAAACGUUUGUAAUUUUCUUUCCUAGGUACCAGUAUCGAGGUUUACAGUAAUAAGGUAUUCAGUCUUUGCUGAAAAUAAAUUUGUUAUCUUGUCAAAGUAAAA